UGGCGGUGCCUGAUUCAUGCAAGUCGAGCGGACCGAACGGAAGCUUGCUUCUGUUCGGUUAGCGGCGGACGGGUGAGUAACACGUGGGUAACCUGCCCGUAAGACCGGGAUAACUCCGGGAAACCGGGGCUAAUACCGGAUAACACCGAAGACCGCAUGGUCUUUGGUUGAAAGGUGGCUUUUGCUACCACUUACGGAUGGGCCCGCGGCGCAUUAGCUAGUUGGUGAGGUAACGGCUCACCAAGGCGACGAUGCGUAGCCGGCCUGAGAGGGUGACCGGCCACACUGGGACUGAGACACGGCCCAGACUCCUACGGGAGGCAGCAGUAGGGAAUCUUCCGCAAUGGACGAAAGUCUGACGGAGCGACGCCGCGUGAGCGAAGAAGGUCUUCGGAUCGUAAAGCUCUGUUGUUAGGGAAGAAGAAGUACCGUUCGAAUAGGGCGGUACGGUGACGGUACCUAACGAGAAAGCCCCGGCUAACUACGUGCCAGCAGCCGCGGUAAUACGUAGGGGGCGAGCGUUGUCCGGAAUUAUUGGGCGUAAAGCGCGCGCAGGCGGUCCCUUAAGUCUGAUGUGAAAGCCCACGGCUCACCCGUGGAGGGUCAUUGGAAACUGGGGGGACUUGAGUGCAGAAGAGGAGAGCGGAAUUCCACGUGUAGCGGUGAAAUGCGUAGAGAUGUGGAGGAACACCAGUGGCGAAGCGGCUCUCUGGUCUGUAACUGACGCUGAGGCGCGAAAGCGUGGGGAGCAAACAGGAUUAGAUACCCUGGUAGUCCACGCCGUAAACGAUGAGUGCUAAGUGGUUA
RNAcentral lists this ribosomal RNA (807 nucleotides) under Parageobacillus toebii. RNAcentral describes it as "bacterial SSU rRNA". It matches the Rfam family "Bacterial small subunit ribosomal RNA", at positions 37 to 826 of the family's 1533-position model. Lineage: Bacteria; Bacillati; Bacillota; Bacilli; Caryophanales; Anoxybacillaceae. The record is from RNAcentral.